This 493-nucleotide ribosomal RNA is filed under the name uncultured bacterium. RNAcentral describes it as "partial 16S ribosomal RNA". It matches the Rfam family "Bacterial small subunit ribosomal RNA", at positions 28 to 507 of the family's 1533-position model. The record is from RNAcentral.
GACGAACGCUGGCGGUGUGCUUAACACAUGCAAGUGGUGCGACGAACCAGAGCUUGCUCUGGGGCAAAGCCGCGAACGGGUGAGUAACACGUGGGUAAUCUACCCCGAUGACCGGGACAACCCGAGGAAACUCGGGCUAAUACCGGAUGUGGUGCGGAGACAUAAGUCUCUUCCCUAAAGGUAGCUUCGGCUUCCGCAUUGGGAGGGGCCCGCGGCCCAUUAGCUUGUUGGUGGGGUCAAGGCCUACCAAGGCAACGAUGGGUAGCUGGUCUGAGAGGACGAUCGGCCACACUGGAACUGAGACACGGCCCAGACUCCUACGGGAGGCAGCAGUGGGGAAUCUUGCGCAAUGGGCGAAAGCGUGACGCAGCAACACCGCGUGAGGGAAGAAGGCCUUAGGGUUGUAAAACUCUUUCAGAUGGGACGAAGGUUUGUCGGUGAAUAGCCGAGAGGAUUGACGGUACCGUCAGAAGAAGCCCCGGCUAACUACGUG